AAGUCGAGGGGCAGCGGGAUUGAAGCUUGCUUCAAUUGCCGGCGACCGGCGGAAGGGUGCGUAACGCGUGAGCGACAUGCCCGUUGCCCGGGGACAACCGGUGGAAACGCCGACUAAUCCCCGAUGGGAUAUUGUGCCGCAUGGCACGAUAUUGAAAGUUACGGCGGCGACGGAUUGGCUCGCGUCCGAUUAGCUGGUUGGCGGGGUAACGGCCCACCAAGGCUACGAUCGGUAGGGGUUCUGAGAGGAAGGUCCCCACAAUGGAACUGAGACACGGUCCAUACUCC
RNAcentral lists this ribosomal RNA (287 nucleotides) under uncultured bacterium. RNAcentral describes it as "partial 16S ribosomal RNA". It matches the Rfam family "Bacterial small subunit ribosomal RNA", at positions 59 to 339 of the family's 1533-position model. The record is from RNAcentral.